CGGUGAAUACGUUCCCGGGUCUUGUUCACACCGCCCGUCACACCAUGGGAGUGGGUUGCUCCAGAAGUAGAUAGCUUAACGAAUGGGCGUUUACCACGGUGUGAUUCAUGACUGGGGUGAAGUCGUAACAAGGUAGCCGUAGGGGAACCAGCGGCUGGAUCACCUCCUUA
Molecule: ribosomal RNA, 170 nt
Filed under: Francisella tularensis subsp. holarctica
Lineage: Bacteria; Pseudomonadati; Pseudomonadota; Gammaproteobacteria; Thiotrichales; Francisellaceae
Description: partial 16S ribosomal RNA
Rfam family: Bacterial small subunit ribosomal RNA
Source: RNAcentral